Molecule: non-coding RNA, 119 nt
Organism: Chiloscyllium plagiosum (whitespotted bambooshark)
Lineage: Eukaryota; Metazoa; Chordata; Chondrichthyes; Orectolobiformes; Hemiscylliidae
Source: RefSeq, a predicted model, not a curated record
CGUCAGCAGGGUCAUCAGAAUCUGAAUACCAUUGACAUUUAACUGUGGAAGGAGAAAGGUGUGUCUGUUCUGUCUGUGGGGUGCUCGAUGGUGAAGAUUUGCAGACUGAAAUCUCAAAA